UGAGACACGGACCAGACUCCUACGGGAGGCAGCAGUGGGGAAUCUUGCACAAUGGGCGAAAGCCUGAUGCAGCCAUGCCGCGUGAAUGAUGAAGGCCUUAGGGUUGUAAAAUUCUUUCGCCAGGGAUGAUAAUGACAGUACCUGGUAAAGAAGCCCCGGCUAACUUCGUGCCAGUAGCCGCGGUAAUACGGAGGGUGCAAGCGUUAAUCGGAAUUACUGGGCGUAAAGCGCGCGUAGGCGGCUUGUUAAGCCAGAUGUGAAAGCCCCGGGCUCAACCUGGGAACUGCAUUUGAUACUGCGGAGCUAGAGUAUGGUAGAGGAUAGUGGAAUUCCAGGUGUAGCGGUGAAAUGCGUAGAGAUCGGAUGGAACACCAGUGGCGAAGGCGGC
RNAcentral lists this ribosomal RNA (388 nucleotides) under Pseudo-nitzschia fraudulenta. Its description in RNAcentral is "partial Bacterial small subunit ribosomal RNA". It matches the Rfam family "Bacterial small subunit ribosomal RNA", at positions 320 to 725 of the family's 1533-position model. Lineage: Eukaryota; Bacillariophyta; Bacillariophyceae; Bacillariales; Bacillariaceae. The record is from RNAcentral.